UACAGAGGUCCCAAGCGUUGUUCGGAUUCACUGGGCGUAAAGGGUGCGUAGGUGGCCAGGUAAGUUUGGUGUGAAAGCUCGGAGCUUAACUCCGAAAAGUCAUUGAAUACUAUCUGGCUGGAGGGUCGGAGGGGAGACUGGAAUUCUCGGUGUAGCAGUGAAAUGCGUAGAUAUCGAGAGGAACACCAGUGGCGAAGGCGAGUCUCUGGACGACUCCUGACACUGAGGCACGAAAGCGUGGGGAGCAAACAGG
RNAcentral lists this ribosomal RNA (253 nucleotides) under uncultured bacterium. RNAcentral describes it as "partial 16S ribosomal RNA". It matches the Rfam family "Bacterial small subunit ribosomal RNA", at positions 524 to 776 of the family's 1533-position model. The record is from RNAcentral.